AAUAGAUACCCAGGUAGUCCACGCCGUAAACGUUGGGCACUAGGUGUGGGGUCUAUUCAACGGACUCCGUGCCGUAGCUAACGCAUUAAGUGCCCCGCCUGGGGAGUACGGCCGCAAGGCUAAAACUCAAAGGAAUUGACGGGGGCCCGCACAAGCAGCGGAGCAUGUUGCUUAAUUCGAGGCAACGCGAAGAACCUUACCUGGGUUUGACAUGUAGAGAAAAGCCAUAGAGAUAUGGUGUCCUUCGGGGUUCUACACAGGUGGUGCAUGGUUGUCGUCAGCUCGUGUCGUGAGAUGUUGGGUUAAGUCCCGCAACGAGCGCAACCCUUGUCCUAUGUUGCCAGCACGUCAUGGUGGGGACUCGUAGGAGACUGCCGGGGUCAACUCGGAGGAAGGUGGGGACGACGUCAAAUCAUCAUGCCCCUUAUAUCCAGGGCUGCAAACAUGCUACAAUGGCCGGUACAAAGGGCUGCGAAACCGCGAGGUGGAGCGAAUCCCAUAAAGCCGGUCUCAGUUCGGAUUGGAGUCUGCAACUCGACU
This 540-nucleotide ribosomal RNA is filed under the name uncultured bacterium. RNAcentral describes it as "bacterial SSU rRNA". It matches the Rfam family "Bacterial small subunit ribosomal RNA", at positions 777 to 1317 of the family's 1533-position model. The record is from RNAcentral.